UACGAAGGGGGCUAGCGUUGCUCGGAAUUACUGGGCGUAAAGCGCACGUAGGCGGCUUUCUAAGUCUGAUGUGAAAUCCUGGAGCUCAACUCCAGAACUGCCUUCGAUACUGGAGAGCUUGAGUCCGGGAGAGGUGAGUGGAACUGCGAGUGUAGAGGUGAAAUUCGUAGAUAUUCGCAAGAACACCAGUGGCGAAGGCGGCUCACUGGCCCGGUACUGACGCUGAGGUGCGAGAGCGUGGGGAGCGAACCGG
This 253-nucleotide ribosomal RNA is filed under the name uncultured bacterium. RNAcentral's name for it is "partial 16S ribosomal RNA". It matches the Rfam family "Bacterial small subunit ribosomal RNA", at positions 524 to 776 of the family's 1533-position model. The record is from RNAcentral.